Molecule: ribosomal RNA, 455 nt
Filed under: Streptococcus mitis
Lineage: Bacteria; Bacillati; Bacillota; Bacilli; Lactobacillales; Streptococcaceae
Description: bacterial SSU rRNA
Rfam family: Bacterial small subunit ribosomal RNA
Source: RNAcentral
GACGAACGCUGGCGGCGUGCCUAAUACAUGCAAGUAGAACGCUGAAGAGAGGAGCUUGCUCUUCUUGGAUGAGUUGCGAACGGGUGAGUAACGCGUAGGUAACCUGCCUGGUAGCGGGGGAUAACUAUUGGAAACGAUAGCUAAUACCGCAUAAUAGCAGUUAUUGCAUGAUAACUGUUUAAAAGGUGCAAUUGCAUCACUACCAGAUGGACCUGCGUUGUAUUAGCUAGUUGGUGGGGUAACGGCUCACCAAGGCGACGAUACAUAGCCGACCUGAGAGGGUGAUCGGCCACACUGGGACUGAGACACGGCCCAGACUCCUACGGGAGGCAGCAGUAGGGAAUCUUCGGCAAUGGACGGAAGUCUGACCGAGCAACGCCGCGUGAGUGAAGAAGGUUUUCGGAUCGUAAAGCUCUGUUGUAAGAGAAGAACGAGUGUGAGAGUGGAAAGUUCAU